Molecule: ribosomal RNA, 253 nt
Filed under: uncultured bacterium
Lineage: Bacteria
Description: partial 16S ribosomal RNA
Rfam family: Bacterial small subunit ribosomal RNA
Source: RNAcentral
UACGAAGGGUGCAAGCGUUACUCGGAAUUACUGGGCGUAAAGCGUGCGCAGGCGGCUUGCUAAGACAGGUGUGAAAGCCCCGAGCUUAACUUGGGAAUGGCGCUUGUGACUGGCAGGCUGGAGUGUGGCAGAGGGAGGUGGAAUUCCACGUGUAGCAGUGAAAUGCGUAGAGAUGUGGAGGAACACCAAUGGCGAAGGCAGCCUCCUGGGCCAACACUGACGCUCAUGCACGAAAGCGUGGGGAGCAAACAGG